RNAcentral lists this ribosomal RNA (372 nucleotides) under uncultured bacterium. Its description in RNAcentral is "bacterial SSU rRNA". It matches the Rfam family "Bacterial small subunit ribosomal RNA", at positions 525 to 896 of the family's 1533-position model. The record is from RNAcentral.
ACGUAGGGUCCAAGCGUUAAUCGGAAUUACUGGGCGUAAAGCGUGCGUAGGCGGUCUCGCAAGUCCGAUGUGAAAUCCCCGGGCUUAACCUGGGAACUGCGUUGGAAACUAUGAGACUCGAGUGCGGCAGAGGGGGGUGGAAUUCCAGGUGUAGCAGUGAAAUGCGUAGAUAUCUGGAGGAACACCGAUGGCGAAGGCAGCCCCCUGGGUCAGCACUGACGCUCAUACACGAAAGCGUGGGGAGCAAACAGGAUUAGAUACCCUGGUAGUCCACGCCCUAAACUAUGGCAACUAGUUGUUGGAGGAUGAACUCCUUUAGUAACGCAGCUAACGCGUGAAGUUGCCCGCCUGGGGAGUACGGUCGCAAGAUUA